UUAAAUUGAAGAGUUUGAUCAUGGCUCAGAUUGAACGCUGGCGGCAGGCCUAACACAUGCAAGUCGAACGGUAACAGGAAGCAGCUUGCUGCUUCGCUGACGAGUGGCGGACGGGUGAGUAAUGUCUGGGAAACUGCCUGAUGGAGGGGGAUAACUACUGG
This 161-nucleotide ribosomal RNA is filed under the name Salmonella enterica subsp. enterica serovar Enteritidis str. 3402. RNAcentral describes it as "partial 16S ribosomal RNA". It matches the Rfam family "Bacterial small subunit ribosomal RNA", at positions 1 to 153 of the family's 1533-position model. The record is from RNAcentral. RNAcentral also lists the same sequence under 1 other name. Lineage: Bacteria; Pseudomonadati; Pseudomonadota; Gammaproteobacteria; Enterobacterales; Enterobacteriaceae.